Molecule: long non-coding RNA, 284 nt
Filed under: Elaeis guineensis (African oil palm)
Lineage: Eukaryota; Viridiplantae; Streptophyta; Magnoliopsida; Arecales; Arecaceae
Description: long non-coding RNA (EGUI_LNC081846)
Source: RNAcentral
CACUAUGUCGAAUUGGGAAGGACCCUGAUUAGUCCCGUGUGGAUCACCAUUGGAGGGCUUCUAUUUUGAAGCCUUGUGGAGAUCUUAAGAUUACUAGUUCAUGGUCUUCAUGAUGGUAUAUGGCUUCUGUUCCUUUCUUGUUAUACAUGCUUAUGUUAUUUGAUUGCAAUCAUCAAGGUGUUCCUAGGAUUUUUAUUUUUGGUAGUCUAGUUUAAAUGUUAAACUUAUUUUCAAUUGUUGAAUGUAUAUAAAAAUUUUUAAAAUUUAUAUUCUGCUGCAUCACC